GUUGUACCACAAUAGCCAGAAUCAUAAGUCAAACUCAAUUUUAAAAACUGUAAAGGGUUCUUAUGAAGGUGGUGUGAGCGUAUAUUUUGCAAUUUGUAGACAUAAGCCAUGUGACCUAAUGAAACUUUGACAGUUUGUGAUAGAAGUUAACCUGCAAGACAGUGGAGCACAAAGGCUCUGAAGAAGAGGCCGAGUUACUGACAUGCAGUAACAGGACACGAGAGAGAGAGAGAGAGAGAGAGAGAGAGAGAGAGAGAGAGAGAGAGAUGGGGGGACAGGGAGGGAGAGAGAGAGAGUUUGCUGACAUAUUGACAUAUCUCACACGUUCACAUACUUCCUGUUUGUGGCAGACAAAGUUACAGAUUGCACUCAGUAUACAUAAUGUUGUAUGCAUCAAAAACACAGCAUUUAAUUUUUCUGUCAAUUACAUCAAAAGACAGGUGUUUGAUGAGACUACUGUGUUGUUGAAUGUAACAUUUCCUCAAAGAUGUAUAUUCUUUCCUGAUGUUUGUAACAAUGUUACUGACUUGUACUUGAAAUGAGGUGAUUUACUGCAACCCUCCAGGUCAGUCUCUUGGGUUCAGAGACAUAAAAUUGAUAAAAUACAUGGAAAUACUUUUAAGGUCAUUUUAAAGUAAUUUAAAACCUCAUGUGUGUGUGACCACACACAUACACACUUCACUCUGACACACAGACUGUCAGAGUGAAGCCUUUGUUAUGCUAAUUAAGGACUGCAUGCAGCUCAGACACAGAGCAGAAUGGCUUGAAACUUUCUCAAACAAAUGCUUCCAGAUGCCAAACCGUGGGUCCCAUCUUCAAUCUGAAAACAUCACCAGAUAGAUAAAUUUGUUCUGAACGCAAACAUAUAAAGCUUGUAUGUCUAUGGACUGAAAAAUGUCACCUUAAUCACAGGUUUACAGUGUGUUGGCCCUCAUCUUUUCUUCCAGAGAUCAUCAUGAGGAGUUGUGUCCUGCACCUUCUAACGCUUCUUAAAUCCAAACCGUUCAAGUUAUGACAAAGUCCUUCACAAGUAAUGUUCAGCAGGGGUAGAGCUGUAAUUUGUGCAAGUUUGAAGCAGUUAUGAUAAACGGUGUAGGAGCAAAUAAUUUUUGAUCGACAGAAUUUGUGAAAAACGCCAUCUUACAUUCAAAGACCGACAGCUCACUUCCUGUUGGAGUUAGGUCAGGGGUUGCAGCGCGACAUUUGUAGGUCUUUAUGAGACGAACGAGACAGUUUUGGUUUGGUCUUUCUAAGUGGUUCCUACCCAUCGCACCGGGCAUUUUAGUGUGUCUAGGUGGCACAACAAAUCCUCAGGAGGUUUUGGCGCACAUCACCUGAAACGCGUCAUAACAUCCAAACCAGUCGAGGAUUGAAAAAGUUACGCACAAUAAUUGAUAAGGACAAGUUGAAGAAUAAUGUGUGCGAGUUUGAAGCCGAUACGAUAAACGGUGUCAGACUAGUUGAUUUUUAAAGGAAUUUUUUUUUUGAGGAAAACUCUUAUUUUGAAAGGGAAAUAUCUCACUUCCUGUUGGAGUUAGGUCAUGGGUGCGAGCGCGUGAUUUGUAGGUCUUGAUGAGACAAACGAGGCUGUUUUGGUUUGAUCUUCCUACGACGUUCCUACUGGCUGCAGCGGCCAUUUUUGUGUUUCUAGGUGGCGCUAGAGAGCCCAUUUUGGCACUUUUCAGAUUAAUUUCGUCAGUUUAUAAAAUUUUUCGCCAGUCCUGACAGGCAUGCCAAUUUUGGUGAGUUUUCGAGCAUGUUUAGGGGGUCAAAUUCCAGUUGAAAGUCGCGUACGCUGAAAGAAAGAAAGAAACAAUAAUAAUAAUAAUAAUAAUAAUAAUAAUAAACACUACAAGAACAAGAGGGUCCUCGCCCUUUCAGGCCGAGGUCCCUAAUAAUAAUAA
Molecule: long non-coding RNA, 1904 nt
Organism: Epinephelus fuscoguttatus (brown-marbled grouper)
Lineage: Eukaryota; Metazoa; Chordata; Actinopteri; Perciformes; Serranidae
Exons: 4
Source: RefSeq, a predicted model, not a curated record